This 952-nucleotide ribosomal RNA is filed under the name Sugarcane whiteleaf phytoplasma. Its description in RNAcentral is "bacterial SSU rRNA". It matches the Rfam family "Bacterial small subunit ribosomal RNA", at positions 93 to 1230 of the family's 1533-position model. Lineage: Bacteria; Bacillati; Mycoplasmatota; Mollicutes; Acholeplasmatales; Acholeplasmataceae. The record is from RNAcentral.
AAGGGGGAUAAGGGAAGAAAGGGGGAAAGUGGGAAUAUAAUGGGAAAAAUAGAAAACAAGAAAUGGGGAAGGUGAGUUAAUAUAUUAUNNAANUCUNNNNUNCUCGGCAAUGGAGGAAACUUUGACCGAGCAACGCCGCGUGAACGAUGAAGUAUUUCGGUAUGUAAAGUUCUUUUAUUGAAGAAGAAAAAAUAGUGGAAAAACUAUCUUGACGAUAUUCAAUGAAUAAGCCCCGGCAAACUAUGUGCCAGCAGCCGCGGUAAUACAUAGGGGGCGAGCGUUAUCCGGAAUUAUUGGGCGUAAAGGGUGCGUAGGCGGUUUAAUAAGUCUAUAGUUUAAUUUCAGUGCUUAACACUGUCCUGCUAUAGAAACUAUUAGACUAGAGUGAGAUAGAGGCAAGUGGAAUUCCAUGUGUAGCGGUAAAAUGCGUAAAUAUAUGGAGGAACACCAGAGGCGUAGGCGGCUUGCUGGGUCUUUACUGACGCUGAGGCACGAAAGCGUGGGGAGCAAACAGGAUUAGAUACCCUGGUAGUCCACGCCGUAAACGAUGAGUACUAAGUGUCGGGAUUACUCGGUACUGAAGUUAACACAUUAAGUACUCCGCCUGAGUAGUACGUACGCAAGUAUGAAACUUAAAGGAAUUGACGGGACUCCGCACAAGCGGUGGAUCAUGUUGUUUAAUUCGAAGAUACACGAAAAACCUUACCAGGUCUUGACAUACUCUGCAAAGCUAUAGCAAUAUAGUGGAGGUUAUCAGGGAUACAGGUGGUGCAUGGUUGUCGUCAGCUCGUGUCGUGAGAUGUUAGGUUAAGUCCUAAAACGAGCGCAACCCUUGUCAUUAGUUGCCAGCAUGUCAUGAUGGGCACUUUAAUGAGACUGCCAAUGAAAAAUUGGAGGAAGGUGAGGAUCACGUCAAAUCAUCAUGCCCCUAUAUCUGCACCACACUUUAAAA